GUGCUAUAUUAUAAAACAAAUUAAUACAGUGCGAAAUUCUCUAUCAGCAGUGCAACAAUCUGCAACAGCAGUGCAAUAUUCUCGAACAAACUGAUGUGAUUGGUGGAAGAGAACAUUAGGUUCUAAAGUCUACCAAUUAGCAAUCGUGAAAUAACGGCCGCAGCCAUUAGAUAGGUUUAAAAAACUAGAUUGAACGUCCAAGACGACGUAAAAAUGACAUGUGCUUCUCGAGUUC
Molecule: non-coding RNA, 235 nt
Organism: Paramuricea clavata
Lineage: Eukaryota; Metazoa; Cnidaria; Anthozoa; Malacalcyonacea; Plexauridae
Source: the annotation of a GenBank genome assembly